RNAcentral lists this ribosomal RNA (465 nucleotides) under Vreelandella stevensii. Its description in RNAcentral is "partial 16S ribosomal RNA". It matches the Rfam family "Bacterial small subunit ribosomal RNA", at positions 338 to 795 of the family's 1533-position model. The record is from RNAcentral. Lineage: Bacteria; Pseudomonadati; Pseudomonadota; Gammaproteobacteria; Oceanospirillales; Halomonadaceae.
CCUACGGGGUGCUGCAGUGGGGAAUAUUGGACAAUGGGCGAAAGCCUGAUCCAGCCAUGCCGCGUGUGUGAAGAAGGCCUUCGGGUUGUAAAGCACUUUCAGUGGGGAAGAAAGCCUUGGGGCUAAUACCCUCGAGGAAGGACAUCACCCACAGAAGAAGCACCGGCUAACUCCGUGCCAGCAGCCGCGGUAAUACGGAGGGUGCGAGCGUUAAUCGGAAUUACUGGGCGUAAAGCGCGCGUAGGCGGUCUGAUAAGCCGGUUGUGAAAGCCCCGGGCUCAACCUGGGAACGGCAUCCGGAACUGUCAGGCUAGAGUGCAGGAGAGGAAGGUAGAAUUCCCGGUGUAGCGGUGAAAUGCGUAGAGAUCGGGAGGAAUACCAGUGGCGAAGGCGGCCUUCUGGACUGACACUGACGCUGAGGUGCGAAAGCGUGGGUAGCGAACAGGAUUAGAUACCCUGGUAGUC